RNAcentral lists this ribosomal RNA (253 nucleotides) under uncultured bacterium. RNAcentral describes it as "partial 16S ribosomal RNA". It matches the Rfam family "Bacterial small subunit ribosomal RNA", at positions 524 to 776 of the family's 1533-position model. The record is from RNAcentral.
UACGGGGGGGGUAAGCGUUGUUCGGAAUUACUGGGCGUAAAGGGCUUGUAGGCGGCCAACUAAGUCAGACGUGAAAUCCCUCAGCUUAACUGGGGAACUGCGUCUGAUACUGGAUGGCUUGGAUUUGGGAGAGGGAUGCGGAAUUCCAGGUGUAGCGGUGAAAUGCGUAGAUAUCUGGAGGAACACCGGUGGCGAAGGCGGCAUCCUGGACCGGUAUUGACGCUGAGGCGCGAAAGCUAGGGGAGCAAACGGG